CGGCCGUCGUCGUCGGGGGGCGCUGGGGGUGUCAGAGGGACGGGGGGGGGUGUCGAGGGGGCGGCCCCGGAGAGGGGACCGGCACCAGCAGGAGGGCGAAGGAGGACGCGCAGCUGCGUAGACCCGAAAAACUGGAAAAAUUUGCAGUUUAGGAGAGAUCCCAGGGCGGGCUGAGGGGAGUUUGGGAAGGGAGGAAGGGCUGUGGAAGGGAGGAGACGGGGCUGAGUGGCAGGGAGGGCAGUCCGAGGGCCCGGGGCUCCAGAAGUGUGGGACGUGUGGCGUGGGGUCUCUCGGGCAUCCUCUCAUGUUUGGCUUCAGAGGGAGGUGGAGGGAUGAUGAGGGAUCUGGGGAGUCAGAGAGCAGGGAAAGUAGGCUGCUUCUGGUGGGUUCAGGAACCAAAGCAAAAGUUUAGCCGUGGUAGGACUUGCAGCUUGGCUACUCGGUUUUCCUUUGAGGAAAGGAACGAGAAAGAUUGGAGAUAGCGUCAGAAAAUGGGUGAUGCUCUGGUGGAACGCUAAGUUCAUAGUGACGAACUGUUCAAGCACGGGUUUUUUUUUAGGGGUUUAAGGCCACUGGGAUAUGAAACCUGAAGGUCCUGAAUGGAUGUUACGAUUAAAACAGGACCUUUGGUACCUCAGUGACAUUUACAAUGAUAAUUUAAUCUGGAGCAGUUUAAGCAUUGACAGUCUUGCAAAAUGCAAUUGAGAGGUGUGAGGUUUUGAGUUUUAGUCAACGUUUGAGUAGUGGUGGAGCAGGAUUUCUAAAAGUCCUGAGAAAUGAACUACAUAAAAAUGUAGCUGUACACAUGAACAUCAGAUUAGGAGGCUCAUUCUGCCCUCCUCUCUCAAAGCUGAAAAGAAGCUUCAAUAUUGAGGUCUAACAGAAAAUUCUACCCAGUCAAUUAUGGUUCUACUAAUGCCUGUUAACCAUCUUCAAACCAGAAGUAAGGUGCAUAUUUUCUGUUGCAGUAUCUUGCGUCUUGAUGAAAAGCACUUCUCAAAGCACAGUGAACAUCCUUUCACUGUCAUAAAACAAUGGUUAUUUAAACUAAUGUGCCCCUUAAACUUCGUUAUUCUUCGAAAGUGUUUUUUUUUUGGCUUUGUAUUUAUUUUCUGUGCAGAUUUAAGCAUUACUUACUCUUUCAGUAUUUUGUCCUGAUGUUCUGUUAUUUUUGAAUGAUUGUACAAAUAAAGUAUGAAGUAGAUGACAGGCUCCAAUUUGUCUUCAUUUUCUGCUGCUGGUGAAGGUUAUAAAAUUCACAUGCCUAGUAGAAAUAUAUGUACUUAAGACUUACAUUUUUAUAGGUAAAUUUGAAAUUGGCUACUCAUGAUCAUUAAGGUUAAAUAUAGAAAUGUAGCUGUUACCAUACUGAAAUGAAAAUCAGAUAUGCACAUCAAUUUAUGAUGAAAACUAUUCCAAAUAAAGAUGAUGUCAUAUAUAUUGAGUAGUUAGGCAUAUUGAAUUUCUUACGUACAUACAAAAAUGAUACUCUUUAGACUAAAACAGCAUUUUGGCCUUCCUAAAAAUGGCAGUAGCUUAGAAUGAUGCAAACAGCAUUCAUUGGAUAUAGUCCUCUUAAAUUAAAAGUAACGAUGUAUAAUUUCAAUGUUUAUAUUUUUGUGCACAUCUCAGAUUAUGAAAACCAUUUAUAUAUCAUUGCAUUUAAAUUGGCUUGCCUUGAGUUUCAACUUUAUGUUCUGUGGUAUUUUUCAAGUAUUUUCGUAUGCUUUGGGAGAUAUAUAUAUAUAUUAAAAAAAAAAAAAAAACUUUAUUUUUGUUAAAAUGUUGUUUUCAGAGAUAUUCAGUUACCAAAAUGGCCUCUAAAGCUUGACCUUGUAAAAUUUUUGACUGUUUUAGCUGACAGCAUUCAAAAUAUUUUUGAUGUUCUGCAAUGCAGUCUAAUAAAUUUAAAAUAUUAUAAUGUUCUGUCGGAUUUCUUAAGUUUCUGUUGGAUUUCUUAGGUAUUACCCGUACCAAGUAAGAAUUUCUUUCUUCCCUAUGGAAGGAGAAGGACAUAAAAGACCCACAUUUAAGCUCUAUUUCUAUGUCAGUUAUUUCACAUUAUGGUGCAUGCAUUUGAAUGUUGACACAGGUUUUUAGACAAUACUGAAAACUUAAAAAUUGUCAUUUUGAAACUGAUCAUUUUCUGAUGCUGCCAUUUUCUGUAGUUAAUGAAAACAGAUUUUACAGGUAAUUUUUCAUUCUUUUUUUUUUCCUUUUGCACUGACUUUUCUAGAUGUGUAAAAAAAGACAUAGUACAAAGGCAUAGAAACAAACCCUAAAGUAGGUGUUUUAACUAAGACUAAUGUUGUGUGGGUUAUCAGCCAUUUGUUUUACCUACUGACGAACAUCAGAAGUACUGCUCUGAAUGCCAGCACUUAACUUCCUCAACCACACUUGUUAUAGCUAGUGUCUAGUUAUAUAGAGUUUUAGUUAGCUAAGAAAAAUAAUGAAGAAGUAAUUGAUCAUGGCCCUGAAAUC
This is a long non-coding RNA of Cygnus olor (mute swan), 2481 nucleotides long. RefSeq lists it as uncharacterized. The transcript is spliced from 2 exons. The record is from RefSeq and is a predicted model, not a curated record. NCBI's taxonomy places the organism in Eukaryota, Metazoa, Chordata, Aves, Anseriformes, Anatidae.